Molecule: non-coding RNA, 29 nt
Filed under: Mus musculus (house mouse)
Lineage: Eukaryota; Metazoa; Chordata; Mammalia; Rodentia; Muridae
Source: RNAcentral
UGAGAAAUUACAUUCAGAUACAACACUCC